Molecule: transfer RNA, 63 nt
Filed under: Tenebrionoidea sp. 8 KM-2017
Lineage: Eukaryota; Metazoa; Arthropoda; Insecta; Coleoptera
Description: tRNA-Phe
Source: RNAcentral
AUUUAAGUAGCUUAUAAAGAGCAUGAUAUUGAAGAUAUCAAGGAAAUUUUUUAUUCUUAAAUA